GUGCGAUUCGCCAAGAGGCACAACGUUAGUGGCACAAGAAGCACCGCAACAACUGGGUCAAAUGAAUUCCUAUCUCAUGAAUUCCACGCAGUGCUGCAUAAGCUAUGAGUCAUCACACCCUGAAUCAGCCUGUGACAGUUUUGCAUUUGCCAAAAUGCAGAAGAGCAAAGUGAGAAAUAUCUUAAAAGGUGGCAGCGCAGAAAGACACGGACAGCGACGGGACAACAAGGAUGAAAUUAUGGCGAAAGGCUGCUGAGCACCGGAUAUCCUCAGCACCACCUCAUUUUGGUUGCAGAGAGCCUUCCGAAAAGAUGCACACAAAACCGCUUACGGGUGAAGCCCACGCACACCAGAGGGUAGAAAUUCUGGGGUUUUAUGUUUUAAGACCGUGAUCUGAUUAUGAGGCGUACCGUAGUGGGGGGCUCUGGAGUAACUUUCACCACCUGGGGUUAUUAACGUACCCCCAAUGCACGGGACCCACAAGUUUCUGCAUUUCACCCCUGUCGAAAUGUGGUGGGAUUUAAUCCUGCGACCUCGUGCUUGGCAGCGCAACACCAUAGCCGCUAAGCCACCGCGGUUGGUUAGGCAGAGGGUAGGUGUGAUACCUUACAUUCCCACGUUAUCACACAAUCUGAAAAAGGUGGCCCAGCAUUACGACGUGAAAAUCCUGUUCUCUGCCCCCCACAAGCUGUCAAAGCUUUGCAGAAUGACCAACCCAGAGGCAACCCAGCAAUGUGACUGCAGCAUAAAGCACAGGCGGCCUCUUGUGGAAUGCACAGGUGUAGUUUAUCGAAUUCCUUUAAGGUGCUGAAAAGUGCAUGUUGAACAAACUGGCAGAUGUGUUAACAAUAGGUUAAGGGAGCACACAAACAAUGUUAAAAAUGCGUGUGAAGCAAAAGAUUUCGAAUGUUUUCCGGCAAGUCAUUGUCUGACUUGCAAGGACUGUUUGCCCGACCUUGUAAACACUACCGUUAUUAAGAAGAGUAAGACGUGUGGGACACAGGAAAUCACAGAAUCUGAAUGGAUUUAUAGACUUGGGGAGGAAUGUGUCAGCAUGGCCUCCAUUACGCUCUAAGGCAAAGAGCUGGCAUAUUUACACAUGCGCAGAUGAUAACCCAUGGCUUCGAGACAGCAUGUAUAUAUUUGUGAAUCAUUCAGAAUAAAAGUUGUUGAAAGUUCA
Long non-coding RNA from Dermacentor andersoni, 1180 nucleotides. RefSeq lists it as uncharacterized. NCBI's taxonomy places the organism in Eukaryota, Metazoa, Arthropoda, Arachnida, Ixodida, Ixodidae. The record is from RefSeq and is a predicted model, not a curated record.